UACGUAGGUGGCAAGCGUUGUCCGGAAUUAUUGGGCGAAAAGCGCGCGCAGGUGGUUCCUUAAGUCUGAUGUGAAAGCCCCCGGCUCAACCGGGGAGGGUUAUUGGAAACUGGGGAACUUGAGUGUAGAAGAGGAAAGUGGAAUUCCACGUGUAGCGGUGAAAUGCGUAGAGAUGUGGAGGAACACCAGUGGCGAAGGCGACUUUCUGGUCUAUAACUGACACUGAGGCGCGAAAGCGUGGGGAGCAAACAGG
Molecule: ribosomal RNA, 253 nt
Filed under: uncultured bacterium
Lineage: Bacteria
Description: partial 16S ribosomal RNA
Rfam family: Bacterial small subunit ribosomal RNA
Source: RNAcentral